CCUACGGGAGGCAGCAGUGAGGAAUAUUGGUAAAUGGGCGUAAGCCUGAACCAGCCAAGUCGCGUGGGGGAUGAAGGUUCUCUGGAUCGUCAACCUCUUUUAUAAGGGACUAAAGUGUGGGACGUGUACUGUUUUGUAUGUCCUUUAUGAAUAAGGAUCGGCUAACUCAGUGCCAGCAGCCGACGUACUACGGAUGAUCCGAGCGUUUUCCGGCUUUCUUGGGUUUACAGUGUUCGUUGGCGUCCUUUUAAGUCAGAGGUGAAAGUCUGUGGCUCAACUAUAGAAUGUCCUUUGAAACUGGUAGGCUUGAGUAUGUGUGAGGCAGGCGGAAGGUGUGGGGUAGCGGGGAAAUGCUUAGAUAUCACGCAGAACCCCGAUUGAGAAGGCAGCCUGCCAAGCCAUGACUGACGCUGAUGCACGAAAGCGUGGGGAUCAAACAGGAUUAGAUACCCGGGUAGUC
RNAcentral lists this ribosomal RNA (460 nucleotides) under uncultured bacterium. RNAcentral describes it as "partial 16S ribosomal RNA". It matches the Rfam family "Bacterial small subunit ribosomal RNA", at positions 338 to 795 of the family's 1533-position model. The record is from RNAcentral.